This 1199-nucleotide ribosomal RNA is filed under the name uncultured organism. RNAcentral's name for it is "bacterial SSU rRNA". It matches the Rfam family "Bacterial small subunit ribosomal RNA", at positions 198 to 1427 of the family's 1533-position model. The record is from RNAcentral.
CGAGUAAAGAUUCGGUCGCUUUGGGAGGAGCUCGCUUACUAUCAGCUUGUUGGUAGGGUAAUGGCCUACCAAGGCUAUGACNGGUUAGGGGGUGUGAGAGCAUGACCCCCAGCAUUGGCACUGAAACACUGGCCAAACACCUACGGGUGGCUGCAGUCGAGAAUCUUCCACAAUGGGGGAAACCCUGAUGGAGCGAUGCUGCGUGCGGGAUGAAGGCCUUCGGGUUGUAAACCGCUUUUGUAGGGGACGAAAUUUUUGACGGUACCCUUUCGAAUAAGAGGUUGCUAACUCUGUGCCAGCAGCAGCGGUAAUACAGAGACCUCAAGCGUUAUCCGGAUUUACUGGGCGUAAAGCGUCUGUAGGGGGUUUAUUAAGUUCCAAGUAAAAUUUCAAGGCUCAACUUUGAAUUCGCUUGGAAAACUAAUAAACUGGAGUCUAGCAGAGGUGCAUGGAACUUGUGGUGUAGGAGUGAAAUCCGUUGAUAUCACAAGGAACACCAAAGGCGAAGGCAUUGCACUGGGCUAGCACUGACCCUGAGAGACGAAAGCGUGGGGAGCAAAACGGAUUAGAUACCCGUGUAGUCCACGCCCUAAACGAUGAAUGCUAAAUGUUCGGGGAUUCGACCCCCUGGGUGUUACAGCUAACGCGUUAAGCAUUCCGCCUGGGAAGUACGGCCGCAAGGCUAAAACUCAAAGGAAUAGACGGGGAUCCGCACAAGCGGUGGAGCGUCUGGUUUAAUUCGACAGUAAGCGUGGUACCUCACCAGGGUUUGACAUCCCUUGACAGCCUUGGAAACAAGGUUUCCUUCGGGCAAGGUGACAGGUGCUGCAUGGUCGUCGUCAGUUCGUGCCGUGAGGUGUUCCGUUAAGUCGGGAAACGAACGAAACCCCUAUUGCAUGUUACAAUUUCUCAUGCAAGACUGCCCGGAUAUACUGGGAGGAAGGUGGGGAUGACGUCAGAUCUGCAUGGUCCUUAUACCCUGGGCGACACAGGCGCUACAAUGGCAGAGACAAAGGGUUGCAAAACCGCAAGGUGAAGCUAAUCCCAAAAACUUUGUCUAAGUUCGGAUUGAAGGCUGCAAUUCGCCUUCAUGAAGCUGGAAUCGCUAGUAAUCGUGAACCAGCCACGUCACGGUGAAUAUGUUCCCGGAUCUUGUACUCACCGCCCGUCACACCAAGAGAGUUGGUAGCUCCCGAAGC